GCUGGGUGUGGUGCUGCACACCUGUAAUCCCAGCAACUCGGGAGGCUGAGGCAGGAGAAUUGCUUGAACCUGGGAGGCGGUGGUUGCAGUGAGCUGAGAUAGCGCCACUGUACUCCGCCUGGGUGACACAGCAAGACUCUGUCUCAA
Molecule: non-coding RNA, 147 nt
Filed under: Nomascus leucogenys (northern white-cheeked gibbon)
Lineage: Eukaryota; Metazoa; Chordata; Mammalia; Primates; Hylobatidae
Source: Rfam by way of RNAcentral